AGGCAGUUAGUUUAAAACAAAACAUUUGAUUUCGGCUCAAAAAACUGUGGUUAGACCCCAUAACUACCUU
Molecule: transfer RNA, 70 nt
Filed under: Guentherus altivela (highfin tadpole fish)
Lineage: Eukaryota; Metazoa; Chordata; Actinopteri; Ateleopodiformes; Ateleopodidae
Description: tRNA-Arg
Rfam family: tRNA
About the family: Transfer RNA (tRNA) molecules are approximately 80 nucleotides in length. Their secondary structure includes four short double-helical elements and three loops (D, anti-codon, and T loops). Further hydrogen bonds mediate the characteristic L-shaped molecular structure. tRNAs have two regions of fundamental functional importance: the anti-codon, which is responsible for specific mRNA codon recognition, and the 3' end, to which the tRNAs corresponding amino acid is attached (by aminoacyl-tRNA synthetases). tRNAs cope with the degeneracy of the genetic code in two manners: having more than one tRNA (with a specific anti-codon) for a particular amino acid; and 'wobble' base-pairing, i.e. permitting non-standard base-pairing at the 3rd anti-codon position.
Source: RNAcentral